Molecule: ribosomal RNA, 947 nt
Filed under: Streptococcus agalactiae
Lineage: Bacteria; Bacillati; Bacillota; Bacilli; Lactobacillales; Streptococcaceae
Description: bacterial SSU rRNA
Rfam family: Bacterial small subunit ribosomal RNA
Source: RNAcentral
UGAGCGCGGCUAUCAUGCAGUAGACGCUGAGGUUUGGUGUUUACACUAGACUGAUGAGUUGCGAACGGGUGAGUAACGCGUAGGUAACCUGCCUCAUAGCGGGGGAUAACUAUUGGAAACGAUAGCUAAUACCGCAUAAGAGUAAUUAACACAUGUUAGUUAUUUAAAAGGAGCAAUUGCUUCACUGUGAGAUGGACCUGCGUUGUAUUAGCUAGUUGGUGAGGUAAAGGCUCACCAAGGCGACGAUACAAAGCCGACCUGAGAGGGUGAUCGGCCACACUGGGACUGAGACACGGCCCAGACUCCUACGGGAGGCAGCAGUAGGGAAUCUUCUGCAAUGGACGGAAGUCUGACCGAGCAACGCCGCGUGAGUGAAGAAGGUUUUCGGAUCGUAAAGCUCUGUUGUUAGAGAAGAACGUUGGUAGGAGUGGAAAAUCUACCAAGUGACAGUAACUAACCAAAAAGGGACGGCUAACUACGUGCCAACAGCCGCGGUAAUACGUAAGUCCCGAGCGUUGUCCGGAUUUAUUGGGCGUAAAGCGAGCGCAGGCGAGUUCUUUAAGUCUGAAGUUAAAGGCAGUGGCUUAACCAUUGUACGCUUUGGAAACUGGAGGACUUGAGUGCAGAAGGGGAGAGUGGAAUUCCAUGUGUAACGGUGAAAUGCGUAGAUAUAUGGAGGAACACCGGUGGCGAAAGCGGCUCUCUGGUCUGUAACUGACACUGACGCUCGAAAGCGUGGGGAGCAAACAAGAUUAGAUACCCUGGUAGUCCACGCCGUACACGAUGAGUGCUAGAUGUUAGGCCCUUUCCGGGGCUUAGUGCCGCACCUAACGCAUUAAACACUCCGCCUGGNGAGUACGACCGCAAGGUUGAAACUCAGAGGAAUUGACGGGGGCCCGCACAAGCGCGGGACCAUGUGGGUUAAUUCCCAGCAUCGCGNAGAAACU